GCCAGUGAUGGGCGGGGCUUAAGUGGACACGUGUCCCGUCCCCGCUACUGGCCCCGCCCUCGGCGCCCGCGCUCAGAGGAGCGGCCGCGACAGGGACAGGGACAGAGACAGGGACAGAGCUGAGCCGGGGACAGGGACAGGGACAGAGCUGAGCCGGGGACAGGGACAGAGACAGAGCUGAGCCGGGGACAGGGACAGGGACAGAGCUGAGCCGGGGACAGGGACAGAGACAGAGGUGAGCCGGGGACAGGGACAGGGACAGAGCUGAGCCGGGGACAGAGACAGGGACAGAGCUGAGCCGGGGACAGGGACAGGGACAGAGCUGAGCCGGGGACAGGGACAGAGACAGGGACAGAGCUGAGCCGGGGACAGGGACAGAGACAGAGCUGAGCCGGGGACAGAGACAGGAACAGAGCUGAGCCGGGGACAGGGACAGAGACAGGGACAGAGCUGAGCCGGGGACAGGGACAGGGACAGAGCUGAGCCGGGGACAGGGACAGAGACAGGGACAGAGCUGAGCCGGGGACAGGGACAGAGACAGAGCUGAGCCGGGGACAGGGACAGAGACAGGGACAGAGCUGAGCCGGGGACAGGGACAGAGCUGAGCCGGGGACAGGGACAGGGACAGAGCUGAGCCGGGGACAGGGACAGAGACAGAGCUGAGCCGGAGCGGCGCCGGGGACAGGGACAGAGCUGAGCCGGGGCAGCGCCGGGGACAGGGACAGAGCUGAGCCGGGGCAGCGCCGGGGACAGGGACAGAGCUGAGCCGGGACCAGGGAAAAGCCUCCUCUCUCCGGGAGGCCGCAGCUGGCGCGGGGCUGGCGCUCAGAGCCCGCACAGCCACUACGGGCACCAAGGAACGCCCAUCCCUGCCCGGCGCCCCGGAUACCCCUGAGUGUGUCCUGCGAGCCUCGGAUCGGCGGAACACCCGUGUCCGAGCCGGGCACACCGCACUGCAGCCCCAGCCGGGGGGUGCCGAUGCGCUGGAGUUUUAUUGCUUUCCAGUACCUCCCACUCAACAGCUUGGAAGAGUCCAAUAUUUAUCUUGUGUGGAAGUCUGAAGUCCCAGCAGUGACUAAGCAGAACCCUUAGUCCCUCACAGAACCUGGACCUACAGGGACAAGGGUGAUGAAGGGAACCUACAGAAAACAUUGACUGUAACCCAACAAUGAGAGCCACUGUGAGAGACCUGGUGGGACAAGGAGGACAGACUAUGGGAGAGAAACUCAGCAGAAGGAAAGGAGUGCUGCAAAUCCUAGUCACCAGAAGUCUCCCAAGUCUGGGCAUGGAUUUUUGCAUGUCAGUGUCUUGGCUGAUAUGUUUACAAGUUGGAUACAACAUAAGAAUUUGUUCUUGUUUGUUCUGCUAACUCCUAAGAACAACAGACAGGUAAACACUUACACUUGCAGAGCACAUUUAUAUGAAGGGUCAGACUGUCUCCUCUGAGGCAGAAGGUGAAUUUCAAUACUAUGUUUUUGACUCAAAUGCUUUAUAUAUUCAUUGCAGCCAAUUUUGAAUGAGUGCCAGCUUGCACAAGCUGGUUUUAAUAACUAGUUUGGUGUGCUGCAGGCCUCAGUAUGUAUCUUGCUCUGCCUGUUCCAUUAUUGCUCAACUAUACACUGACAAUAAAACAAGCACACAGAAUUUA
Pseudopipra pipra is the source of this 1648-nucleotide long non-coding RNA. RefSeq lists it as uncharacterized. The record is from RefSeq and is a predicted model, not a curated record. The transcript is spliced from 2 exons. Lineage: Eukaryota; Metazoa; Chordata; Aves; Passeriformes; Pipridae.